This 74-nucleotide transfer RNA is filed under the name Myxococcales bacterium. Its description in RNAcentral is "tRNA-Arg". It matches the Rfam family "tRNA". From Rfam's summary of the family: Transfer RNA (tRNA) molecules are approximately 80 nucleotides in length. Their secondary structure includes four short double-helical elements and three loops (D, anti-codon, and T loops). Further hydrogen bonds mediate the characteristic L-shaped molecular structure. tRNAs have two regions of fundamental functional importance: the anti-codon, which is responsible for specific mRNA codon recognition, and the 3' end, to which the tRNAs corresponding amino acid is attached (by aminoacyl-tRNA synthetases). tRNAs cope with the degeneracy of the genetic code in two manners: having more than one tRNA (with a specific anti-codon) for a particular amino acid; and 'wobble' base-pairing, i.e. permitting non-standard base-pairing at the 3rd anti-codon position. Lineage: Bacteria; Pseudomonadati; Myxococcota; Myxococcia; Myxococcales. The record is from RNAcentral.
CUGCCCGUAGCUCAGAUGGAUAGAGCAAGGGCCUUCUAAGCCCGAGGUCGCGCGUUCGAAUCGCGCCGGGCGGA